AUACGUAGGUGGCGAGCGUUGUCCGGAAUUAUUGGGCGUAAAGGGCACGCAGGCGGCUGUUUAAGUCCGGUGUGAAAGGUUGCGGCUUAACCGCAAACGGGCACCGGAAACUGAAGAGCUUGAGGGCAGAAGAGGGGAGCAGAAUUCCACGUGUAGCGGUGAAGUGCGUAGAGAUGUGGAAGAAUACCGGUGGCGAAAGCGGUUCUCUGGUCUGCACCUGACGCUGAGGUGCGAAAGCGUGGGGAGCGAACAGGAUUAGAUACCCUGGUAGUCCACGCCGUAAACGAUGAAUGCUAGGUGUUAGGGGGGUCCAACCCCUUAGUGCUGAAGGCAACCCAUUAAGCAUUCCGCCUGGGGAGUACGGCCGCAAGGCUGAA
Molecule: ribosomal RNA, 377 nt
Filed under: uncultured bacterium
Lineage: Bacteria
Description: bacterial SSU rRNA
Rfam family: Bacterial small subunit ribosomal RNA
Source: RNAcentral